UGAAGCGCGGCUUGGGAGAGCUUUAGCGCUUCGCGGCAACCACGGACGGCCUUUGGGAGAGGGGCGUGCGCGGUUCAGACAAGGGGAGAUCGGCCGAUGGAGAAUGCACUCCUCAUCGGACUGUCGCGGCAGAUGACGUUGG
RNAcentral lists this non-coding RNA (142 nucleotides) under Rhodopseudomonas palustris BisB18. Its description in RNAcentral is "flg-Rhizobiales RNA". It matches the Rfam family "flg-Rhizobiales RNA". Lineage: Bacteria; Pseudomonadati; Pseudomonadota; Alphaproteobacteria; Hyphomicrobiales; Nitrobacteraceae. The record is from RNAcentral.